AUAUAUGGGGAAGAAAGAAAGCUUUGAAGUGGUGAUGUCAGUGUAGCUACUCUGAAAUUCAUGAAUCAGCCUUCACAAGCUUUUCAGAGGCUUUAAAAGAUGAUUAAUUUAUCAACUACUACUGAAAUAGCCAUAAACAACUUAAUAAACCUAGUAAAACUUCAGAA
Pogoniulus pusillus (Red-fronted tinkerbird) is the source of this 167-nucleotide long non-coding RNA. RefSeq lists it as uncharacterized. NCBI's taxonomy places the organism in Eukaryota, Metazoa, Chordata, Aves, Piciformes, Lybiidae. The record is from RefSeq and is a predicted model, not a curated record. The transcript has 2 exons.